GUCUCCAAGUAAUUAUGCCCAAAAAACACAACAGAAGAAAAACAAGGGGACUUUAUGAGUGGGUUAAUAAGCCACUCUCUGCUGAAAGCUCACAGAUCGACUCCAGGACAAAGAUCCUGCUCACAUCGAGAUGACAACGUGAAUGGCUCCAUCAUUUCUUUUGCCCCCCAGAAGAUACUGAUACAUUUAAUGGGAUUGCUUUGUCUCCCAAGACCUGAUGUAACGUGACAAGAAAGUGUGACAACAACAAUGCACCUUUGCUUCUCAACCCCUCCCACGCAGUCGCAGUUCUCUUCUUGUCUUCUUCUAUCUCACUUGUGAGGAAAAUAUCACCUGAGGACUCACCUUUCAAAUGCUGGAAAAAACGCUCACAACCUUGACAGAAGCUCUAAACAUUUUUGCGCCCCUUUAAAUAUUAGGCUUUGUGUGAGCGGGAAAUCUUGGAGGCAGCCACCAAAGAGCCUGAGGGCAAACAUGCAAACCUUGAUUAACUUGUGUAGCGCCAUUUCUUUUCUCCGGGAAAUAACUUACUCUGCUGGCUCAUACAGUAGAUUUCUAUACGUAUCACCUUGUAUGUCUAUGUUGUAUUCUUACAUCAAUUUGUAACAGAACAGGGAGAACAGUUUGCUAAAGGGAAAUGUGAGAAUCAACAUUGCAGCGUUAUUGAGUGAAGGCGCGAUUAGGGCUGCACGAUUUUGAAAACUAUAACUAAAUGUGAUUAUUUUGACUAUUGCAAUUGUAUAUGAUUUGACAAAGGGAAUGAUCACUGUUUGAACUUUGAACACACUAUCAAUGAACAAAAUGAUCAUGGUGGGAAGGUGGGACUCCUCUGCAGCAUCAAAAUACUGUAAUUACUAAUAUUAAUACUAAUAAUUAAGAGACCGCUUCAGCAUUAUCAUUUUCUCUUGUUUU
Eleginops maclovinus (Patagonian blennie) is the source of this 912-nucleotide long non-coding RNA. RefSeq lists it as uncharacterized. The record is from RefSeq and is a predicted model, not a curated record. The transcript is spliced from 3 exons. Lineage: Eukaryota; Metazoa; Chordata; Actinopteri; Perciformes; Eleginopidae.